Molecule: long non-coding RNA, 4141 nt
Organism: Bubalus bubalis (water buffalo)
Lineage: Eukaryota; Metazoa; Chordata; Mammalia; Artiodactyla; Bovidae
Exons: 5
Source: RefSeq, a predicted model, not a curated record
UGGGCUGGGGUGGGUGAGGCAGCCCAAUUAUGCCUGGCUUUGCUUCCAAGCUCUAUAAUCGGAUUCAGGUGCUUCCAAAAGCUCCUGCCUCUUCCGAGCAAAUUCAGUUAAGGGCAGGGGGAGGGCGCGCUAAUGGUUUCCACAUUGGGGGCCUCUGCAGAGAGGCCUCUCAAGAGUGGGGGCAAGGAAUCUGACCUUGCCUCCAAGUAGAGUCGUGCUGGAAGGAAUGCAAAUGUGUUCAUUAAGCACCUCUUAUGAGUGAGGGUCUUAGGUCUUGCAGGCUGGACACUGAGAAUAUGAUAAACAAGCAAUCACAGAUGUAGCCUGCCCGGAGCUUACAGCUGGUGGGAGAGACAGAAAAUGGACCAGAAAAUUACAAUACAGACUGAAGAAGCCUGCAGGUACUGUGGAGCACAGAGAAGGCCACCUACCCAGAUUCAGGGGAACAGUUGGCUCCCUGUUGAAUGGCUGAAGAGGAGUUCACUGGGGAAUCUGAGGGUUCUGGGAGCAGAAAAACAGCCCAGGAGAACAUGAGUUGGGGGAGGUGUAGAGCUGGCCAGAGCAUCGGUGGAAUAGCACAGAGUGUAAAGAGAAGUCCAGAGGUUUUCAACCUGGGUUUGAACUCCUUCAGUGAGGGAAGGCAGUAGUGGCAGUCUGGAGAGAGUCUGGAUGGGCAGCUGGCCUGGACACAAGCUUUCUUGAAGUUUCGGAAACCCCUGGACCUGAGUGACGAUAAGGACACGUCUAAGUUUGCAUAACUAGAAGAAGUGGUGCCUAGCAUAUAGAGCCUUAGUCAGCUCAGGCUACUAUCACAAAAUGCCAAAGACUGGAUGGCUUAAACAACAGACAUCUAUUUCUCAUGGUGCUGGAGGCUUGGAAGUCUGACAUCGGGGUGUCUGUCUACAUGGUCAGGUCUGAGAGCUGUGAAGAACACCAUCUAUUGGAUAGAACUCAUUCUGAACAAUCUCCAGCAAAGACUAAGUCUUCAAUACAUCAUUGGAUGCACGCAUGCAUUUUCUCGAAUAAAUGAGUGUCUAGCACAAAGAAUCCCAGGGAUGGGGGAGCCUGGUGGGCUGCCGUCUAUGGGGUCGCACAGAAUCAGACACGACUGACGCGACUUAGCAGCAGCAGCAGCAGCACAAAGGUCAGUGUAUUAAUAGGUAGAUACUAGGUGACCUCAUAGGAUCAGACUGUCUGCAUUAAACUAAUAAACUAAUUUUGGUUGAGGUGUCUAUAGCUGCUAACAUUUGAAACUAGUGUCCUUGAAGGUAAGAUUGCCAUUUUAACUGCAACUUUAUAAUAGACAGAAGUAGGCUUUUUUCCCUACCAUGGGACCCAAAGAAAAGUUCCUUUAGAUAUGACCAGGAGGGGUAGAGGGAAGAACAGCCAGUGCUGAGAAGGCAGGGGAGAGCUGGGGUGCAGAGGCAGCAGAGGAAGGUGGGGAGAGAUGGAUUCAAGACCCAGUAAGCUCCCUGCCCACAGGUUUGUUUGUUUUCAGUGCUCACUGCCCAGAGCCUAGGACCACCCAGGGCACAUCAUGGGCGCUUAGUAACUGUUAAAAAAAAAAAAAAAAAGUAUGAGAAUGAAAAAUAAAGAGAGGCAAGGAGAACAAAUCGGGCAGGAAGAGAGAAAAAGAGAGACAGAGCUCCAACAAAGACAGAGAAGACAGCCAGAGGGGCCUGAGGCGGCUGGCGGCCGGGGGCAGAGGGAGGGACUCUGCUGGCUGAAGCCCAAGGACUCGGCUCGGGGGCGGGGGGACCCCAGCGGGAGGGGCGGUGGCCUGGCUGCGGUGAAGAGAGCACACCCCGAGCGCAGGAGCGCAGCGCCUGCGCCCAGGGCUCCAGACAGCCCAGCCUGGAGAGGGCCGUGGCCGUCAGAAGGUCACGGCCGCGCCGCGGGACUUUCCUGGGGUGGGGGUGGAGGACCUGCGAACAACGCUGGCCUUUAACUUCCCAGGUCAGACCACCCCGCGCUGCCUCCGGCGCAGGGAACCCACCCUGAGCUAGCCUGCCCGCGGGGACCUGUCCUCUGGCCUGACUUUUUAAAGUCCCUCCCUGCCUUCAAAGCUCUGAGUCCCUCCUUUCCCCUAGCCGGAGGCUUCUCACACUUGAGUGCAUCAGAAUCACUGCGAGGCUUUGUUCAUUUAUUUAAUUGAACAGUUUAAUUAAGUCGAUGAUUAUUGUUGCCGCUCCACCCCACCCUCCUGUUUCUGACUGAUGGGUUUAGGUUGGAGCCAUAGGCUAUGUGUUUCUUUUAAGUUCCCAGGUGAUGUUGAUAUAUCUGGUCCCCGUACCCAGGCUUGUAAACCACUGCCCAGUAUGGGAUAACUGUCUCCCUUCUUUUCCUCCUUGAUCCACCAAGUACCUUGUUCAGCCUCCCACAGAGUCCGGAACCCCUGACAGCUAAGGAAACAGGCAAGGGAGGAGGGAAUCUGCGGCGCUUGGGCAAAGCCGGGAGGGUACCAGGAAUCCCAGCUCCCAGCCCCCGAAGCUGUCUGGUAGCAGCAGCCGUUUCUCUAGCCUUUCGCGGGUAGAACUGGGAUCCAGAACAGGGCAGAACCCUGAGGAGUAAAAGCUGAGUGGAAAGCAAUGUUAAUCAAGCCCACCUCCAGGAAAGGCAGAAAAAAGUCCUUUUCUUCAGGAGAGGAGAGUGCAUGGAGGAUUCCUAUUCAACGAUCAGUAGUGCACUAAUCAGUGCCACUCACACUCCAAACCUGUUCGUCAAGCAGCUACUCUAUGCCAGAUACCAGCUGGGGAUUGGGGAUAAUGAGGGAAAUAAAACUGGGGUCAAUGUCUUAGGGAGAAUGCUUUCUAGUAGGCAGAUUAACAAUAAACUUAGGAAAGUAGUAUGCUAGAAAUAAAUUAUAAAUCCUAUGGGGGGAAAAACCAAGUAAGGUAAGGAGGUGCCACUGAGUACAAUUUUAAACAAGAUGGUCAAGGUAGGCCUUGUUGGGAAGGGUUAAGGUAGUCAACCAUGUGAUACCAGAGAGGAGAGUUUUCAGGUAAGGGGAACAGCUGGAGCAAAAGUCCUGAGGUAGGAGCACGCCUAGCAUAUCCGAGGCCCCACAGAGAGAUGAGUGUAACUGGGUGGGGCGGGGUAUGGAAAGAGCUGAGUAGGAGAUUGAGGACAGAGAGGUAAGGGGCAGGCAGGAAGGUGUUAUAGGGUGGGGGUGGAGCGACCAUUCAUAGGGUUUGACUUUUACCCUAAAAUGUCCCUCCAUUUUUCUUUACUUUUUUGUCCUGUUCUUGUCUCUUGCAUCUACAAUACCAAGUUUAAGAAUAGUGUUAAUCUGGCUCACAGCUGGAACUGGUUCUGAGAGACAAUUUUCAGUAGGUUAGUCAAGCCAUCCAUCUCAGAUAGUUAAUACAGGCUGUAAUUACUUUUUCUAACCUGCAGGACAGACGGCGAGCUGUUUACAUUUGCCUCAGCAUCCUUCUUUCUCUUUUCCCAUCAUUCUCCAUGCCUCCUCCAGGCUCUAGUUUCCCUGAUGCCCCUGCUCCCUGACACGCCCCAGGCUUCUACAGCAGCACUGUCCAAUCAAAAUAGAAUAUCAGCUGCACAUGUUAUUUAAAAUUUUCUGGUGGCCACAUUAAAACAAAAGUAAAAAGAAAUAGGCAAAAUUAGUUCUACUAAUAGAUUUGAUUUAACCCAUUAUAGCCAAAAUAGCAUCUUGUCAACAUGUAAUCAAUACAAAAAUCAAUGAGAUAUUUUACUUUAUUUUUUCCUAUACUGUCUUUGAAACCCAGAAUGUAUUUUACACUCAUACCACACCUCAAUUCAGCCUAGCCUCAUUUCAAGUACUCUAAAGCUUCAUGUGGCUAGUGAAUACAUGGAUCUCACCACCCUAGACUCAAAUUCCUGAUCUUCCUUCCCCUCCUCAACAAAAUUAACUCUUCCUGUUUCUAGAAUAUGCUGACACUUCCUUCAGGAAGCCUUCACUGAUUUCUUCACCUCCCUCACUGGCAUGUAAGAAAUAAAUGAGUAAAACUGUAUGGAUAUAUGGUACUCAGAAUAAUCCCUGGCACAAAAUAAGUUUAAUUGAGGUGUUAGCUAUCAUUAUUAUAGUAUUUACUGCCAUUGUAAUAACCUGAUUGUUGUGUAAUUCUUAUAUAAGAAUUAUAUAUUUAAUUUCCUGCUUUCC